UGGUCGGUGUUCUAAUGUAGGAUACCCUGUUGUAGGGAGGUGCGGGUUCGAAUCCCGCCCGACCGC
Molecule: transfer RNA, 66 nt
Filed under: Verrucomicrobiales bacterium
Lineage: Bacteria; Pseudomonadati; Verrucomicrobiota; Verrucomicrobiia; Verrucomicrobiales
Description: tRNA-OTHER
Rfam family: tRNA
About the family: Transfer RNA (tRNA) molecules are approximately 80 nucleotides in length. Their secondary structure includes four short double-helical elements and three loops (D, anti-codon, and T loops).
Source: RNAcentral